This 3866-nucleotide long non-coding RNA is filed under the name Homo sapiens (human). RNAcentral describes it as "non-protein coding lnc-PDGFD-1:11". The record is from RNAcentral. Lineage: Eukaryota; Metazoa; Chordata; Mammalia; Primates; Hominidae.
AGACAUUGACAGCUCAAUGGAGCAUUGCUUUGCAGCCCCUGUAAUGGUAAUCAUAUGAAAGCAUUUGCCCCACCCCAGGGUGACCGUGGGAACCUGGAGAAGUUAAGAAAUGAAUGUAAUAGACUGAACUGCAAGCUGUGGCAGUCUGGGUCUGGAAGGAGAAGAAGCUGUAGAAGAUAUUUUCCUUCAGUAGCUUCUCCACAGCCAUGGUGGGAGAUGGCAGAAACAGCCAGCAUCACUUCUGGGAGGUGGACCACAGAAGAGAAAAAGAAACAACAGACCCAAUAGGGUCUCGCAUGGUUCUGAACACAUAGUAAAUGCUGAAUUACUAUUUCCUAAAUUAUCAUAAAGCUGAGAAGAAUCAUGAUUCUCAAACUUCACCUUGGAAUUAAAAUGGAUUUCCUUGAGAAGCACAUAUGAGGUGCUCAGAAAAUCAAUUUGGAAUGAGGCUAAGAAGGCAAUUCUUUAAAGCCCAGGAAGGCAUUGGCAGGACAGAGAAUCUGAAACAAACAAAGCCUUGGUAAGUUUAUCAUCAGUCAAGACACUCAGGACUUGUUCAUAAGUGGGUUACAAAGCAAAGCAAAAGUUUCUGAGUAAAACUCUACUGGUGAAUCCACGUACACCUCAUCUGAGUCCUUCUAUAUUCAAUCAUAACUUUAAAUUUUGGUUAGAUUAUGUUUAAGCAAUUGAAAAAGCGUUGUGGGGACUAUGUUUACAGGGUAAUAUGCAUUUACUUUAUGAGGAAGAUGAAAUAUUUGCAAAUAUUAGACAAGAUUAUCAGGAAUGUCUAUGUGUACCAUUUUUGUAAGUAAAGUUUUACCUAGGGUAAACUUUAAUCAGACCAUGAUUUUUGCUGUUUUCCCAAAAUACACACACACACACACACACACACACACACACACAAAUCUUUGUAUGACGUGUCAGGGGAGGGAUAGAUGGUGCUGGGUGGUGAAGGCUUGAUAGAUUUUCUGCUAUACGUGUCAGUGAGGAGUAGACUCAUUCUCCUUUCCUGUCACAUUGUUUGAAACAAAAUGUUUCUCCCCCAAACAUAUGACUCCAAUAACCUUGGUGGCAGCUUUGCCAGUUCUGAUGGAACAAGAGGCCGUGAACACUUGAUCCUACAGAUUUGCUUGUCAUCUCUGCCAUUGAGUCAUGCUAGCCCCAUUACUAGGCUGCAGAAAUCUGUCAUUUACUAAUCUGCUUGGAAUGUCAAGGAAAGCAGAGCUGAAGCUUUGAUGGGUGAAUCUCCUGUCCUGGAUACUCUCUGCUGGGCUCAGAAGAAUGCCAAAAGAGCUGGCAGCUGAGUGGAGUUUUGAUUAACUGUACUGGUGUGUACCCACUCAAGCGUCAGUGAGAUUGGUUAUUGUCAGUCAGCUGUCUCCUGAGUGCUGAAUUCUCAUUUAAGCUUUUGUAUUUAACGGGAAACUCACAGUUCUCUCACUCUGGAGUUUUAAAUGAAGUUCAAAUCAGAUGUAAUUUGCAGUUUUAUAAAAGCUAUGCAAUAUUUUCUGUCUCUGUAAGUAGCUCAGAAAUGGAAUUGCCUUUAAUGAUUAUAACUUCUUAUUCUCAAAUUUGCAUUAAUGCAUGUUCCCUAACAAGACAAAAACAUUUCCCCACCAAGCACAUCCAUAUGAGGGGUAUGCUUAUGCAUAUUAGUGUUCCCAGGUACAAAGCUGCUUCAUUUCAGCUGCCAUGACUUGACUUUCAUUGUUUUAAGGGCAAUUUGAAUGCAUGGGAUUCACUGGAACACAGAUGCACUCUCCUCAUCUUUCAAAACAAUCAGCAGUUAGAUUACAACAGGCUUUGAUUAAUGCAGGGCUUGCAUGAGAAUGCAAGCCAACGUGUGUCUAAUUGUUUAGCAACAAACAUAGGCCCCCAUUUAAUGCUCUGGAAAUUAGCACUCUCUUUAAGAGCCAAAUCAAAUAUUGUAUUCUGGCUCUGCAGACCACAGGCAUCUAACAGUCCGCAGGUACUACUGUUGUCCUCUAGAAUAACUGUGCUGGUUUAGUAUACAAAGACUUUUGGUUAGGGGAGUCUGGAUUUUCAGCAAGGUCUUUAAAAAGUGUGCAGUGUUGCUAGUCCUUUACAUACGCUGGAAUUUAAUGUCGGUACCACUUAACAUCAGAUCUUCAUCUGGGUAGAACAAUUUCUGUAGGAAAGACAUGGUAACAGAAUACCAAAAUCUGAACUUAGGUUAAGAGCAAAGAAAUACGUUUAACCUGUUUUGUGUUUUGUUUUGUUCUGUUUUGAACAUGUCUCCAUAUUUAAGUGUCUGGCUUAAAUGUUUUGACACCCUCUUACUGAAAAACUGGACUUUCCUGAUACUCCUGAAAACCGACACCACCCCAUUUCAACAUAAAGGGUCCCUGUUGCACAAUGGCUGACGUGAGAAGUCAAAUAAAUAUCAUAAGCAUCUAGGAGGGAUCACUCAGGAAAAAAAGAAGUCACAUUAGUUAUUGUAAUAAAAAUAACAAUAAAAAAUGGAUUAAACAGGUAUUGGAGAACUGAAACAGUUAAAAAAAGAAAAAAAAAGACAGAACAGAAACAGUGACUACCAAAGGCAGCUACCAUUCCAUAGAGCCAGGGGAACUAAGGGAAGAGGUUGGCCUUAUUUGAACCUACACCUAUUAGUUUGAGCCAGGGCCAGCUUCACGGCUGCGCAACCUAUGCAGUCACAUGGCACCCUGUGCACAGAAGGGUCUGGCUUAUGUUCUGCUUUCACUGUCUGAUGAACAAUUUUUGAACAAGGGACCCUCAUUUUUCAUUUCACACCGUUAUGGAACUGGUCCUGGUUUGAAUCAUAUGAAAUGUCUCUGUUUUUAGAUCAAGAUGUUCAACUACCAGCAAUGUUAUAUGGUAAAUAAUAAAAGCUUAUAGAGGGGUUGUGUGGAACUGAAGCUCAAAAUGCUAGGAGAAGGGUGCUGGCUAGCUAGUGCCGUGGGGUCCCUGAGAAUGAUUCCAGGAGUAUGAAUAUAAAAGGGAGAUCCGAAGUCAACUGUCGCUGCCAGAAAACAGAAGCACUGACGAGUUGACACAACAGGAAGCAAACAGGAACAUGUGUGUCUCUUAUGUCUCCCUCUGUGUCCUUUCAUUUGUAAAACUGAGUAGAGACCCUCCUGGAAAAGCAGAAAAAGCUUUGCAGAAGCUCAGGUCCAGCUUCAAUAAGCAGAAAAUAGAAGGGUGGGCCUGAAGCCUGCUAUAGACUGAAUGUUCAUGUCCCUCCACUCACAAAAUUUGUUUUUAAAAUCCUACCACCCAAGAUGAUGGUAUUAAGAGGUGGGGCCUUUGGCAGGUGAGUAGGUUAUUGGGGUGGAGCCCUCAUAAAUGGAUCUAGUGGAUUUUUUUUUUUACUUCAACUCUCUUAUAAAAGAGACCCUAGAGAGCUUCCUUACCCUUUCCGCCAUGUUGAGGACACAGCAAGAAGAUGGUGCUCUACGAAUCAGGAGAUGGGUGCUUGUUAUACACCAAUUCUGUAGGCAUCUUCGUCUUUUACUUUUCAGCCUCCAGAACAGUAAGAAACUCAUUAUUUAUAAGCCAUCCAGCCUAUGGUAUUUCUCUUAUAGCAGUACAAAUGAACUAAGACAGUCUGGAGACAAUAGCUUAAAUAUGAACACAAGGGACACUAAGCCAGUGAGGGUAAGUGGUUCCUGUGAUAUCAGAAUUAAAAGAAUAAAUAUAACAAAAAUGUUAAAAAAAAAAAAAACCUUUAAUGUGAUACAAAUAGAGUACAUAAAAUCGUUUCUCUGAAGUUUCAACAUAUUUUUGGAUAUAAAAAAUCAAGAGGGCCGGGCGUGGUGGCUCAUGCCUGUAAUCCCAGCACUUUGGGAGGCCGAGGCGGGCAGAUCACGAGCUCAGGAGAUCGAGAC